This 69-nucleotide transfer RNA is filed under the name Ictidomys tridecemlineatus (thirteen-lined ground squirrel). RNAcentral describes it as "Spermophilus tridecemlineatus (thirteen-lined ground squirrel) tRNA". It matches the Rfam family "tRNA". Rfam says of the family: Transfer RNA (tRNA) molecules are approximately 80 nucleotides in length. Their secondary structure includes four short double-helical elements and three loops (D, anti-codon, and T loops). The record is from Rfam by way of RNAcentral. Lineage: Eukaryota; Metazoa; Chordata; Mammalia; Rodentia; Sciuridae.
GGGGCUGUAGCUCAGUGGUACAGCGCCCACCUCACACGUGUGAGGCGCUGGGUUCGAUCCUCAGCACCA